AUACGUAGGGGGCGAGCGUUGUCCGGAAUGACUGGGCGUAAAGGGCGUGUAGGCGGCGGUGUAAGUCUGGAGUGAAAGUCCCGCAUUCAAUGUGGGAAUUGCUUUGGAUACUGCAGUGCUGGAGUGCGGAAGAGGUAAGUGGAAUUCCCGGUGUAGCGGUGAAAUGCGUAGAGAUCGGGAGGAACACCAGUGGCGAAGGCGGGUAACUGGACUGCAACUGACGCUGAGGCGCGAAAGUGUGGGGAGCAAACAGGAUUAGAUACCCUGGUAGUCCACACUGUAAACGAUGAAUGCUAGGUGUAGGAGGUAUCGACCCCUUCUGUGCCGCAGUAAACACAGUAAGCAUUCCGCCUGGGGAGUACGGUCGCAAGAUUAAAACUCAAAGGAAUUGACGGGG
Molecule: ribosomal RNA, 397 nt
Filed under: uncultured bacterium
Lineage: Bacteria
Description: partial 16S ribosomal RNA
Rfam family: Bacterial small subunit ribosomal RNA
Source: RNAcentral